Megalops atlanticus (tarpon) is the source of this 78-nucleotide non-coding RNA. NCBI's taxonomy places the organism in Eukaryota, Metazoa, Chordata, Actinopteri, Elopiformes, Megalopidae. The record is from the annotation of a GenBank genome assembly.
GGCAGUGUGGCAUAGUGGUAAGGAGCAGGGCUUGUAACCACGAAGUCACUGGUUCGAUUCCUCACCAGGGGACUGCUG